UUUUGGAUGUGUGGGGGCGCACAAGUGGAGCGCACUUCAGGCGCGCAGAGACGCUAAAGAGCCGCAAAUACGGAGAUCCAUUUAUAGAUCUUCCUCACACCCGUUCUCGGUUAUCCAGCGCCCACGAGGGAGUGCUAGAGGAGGCAGAGCUCGCCGUGCCCCAUCGUCUUCCAACAAAGCAUGAAUAAUCUGGGACGAUUGCUUCACAGAGGCUGGUGAAUAAAUGAUUGAACACAAGCAGAUGAUUGAGGUGCCAAGGCAUCUGGAGCACUAGACUGGAGUCCCAGCUGGCAUAG
Molecule: long non-coding RNA, 296 nt
Organism: Trichomycterus rosablanca
Lineage: Eukaryota; Metazoa; Chordata; Actinopteri; Siluriformes; Trichomycteridae
Exons: 3
Source: RefSeq, a predicted model, not a curated record